AGGACAACGCACAUACUCAAAAGG
Molecule: non-coding RNA, 24 nt
Filed under: Arabidopsis thaliana (thale cress)
Lineage: Eukaryota; Viridiplantae; Streptophyta; Magnoliopsida; Brassicales; Brassicaceae
Source: RNAcentral